RNAcentral lists this long non-coding RNA (293 nucleotides) under Setaria viridis. RNAcentral's name for it is "long non-coding RNA (SVIR_LNC003403)". The record is from RNAcentral. Lineage: Eukaryota; Viridiplantae; Streptophyta; Magnoliopsida; Poales; Poaceae.
GAGGGAGUAAUAAAUAAAUAAAUAUUAGUUAAUAAUAUUAAUAAACAAAUAAAGCAUAAAAAUAUUUUACAACACCAAAAUAAAUUAUUUGAAGUAAUUUACACAGACAAAUAAUAAGUUUCAAAAUAAAUGAAAAUAAUAUAUUUAUUGUAUGGUUUAGUGAGCCGUUUAUGCUAUACAAAUGCGGAUAUUAUCAGAUAUCCAUCCACAUCAACAUUUAUUUCGAAUACGAAUUCGGAUAAUGAAUAAAUGAAUUCGGAUGUAUCCACUUGAGGUAACACAUUAGAAAUGAA